RNAcentral lists this unclassified non-coding RNA (253 nucleotides) under uncultured Sphingomonadaceae bacterium. Its description in RNAcentral is "contains 16S-23S intergenic spacer region". It matches the Rfam family "Bacterial small subunit ribosomal RNA", at positions 524 to 776 of the family's 1533-position model. Lineage: Bacteria; Pseudomonadati; Pseudomonadota; Alphaproteobacteria; Sphingomonadales; Sphingomonadaceae. The record is from RNAcentral.
UACGGAGGGAGCUAGCGUUGUUCGGAAUUACUGGGCGUAAAGCGCACGUAGGCGGCUAUUCAAGUCAGAGGUGAAAGCCCGGGGCUCAACCCCGGAAUAGCCUUUGAAACUAGAUAGCUAGAAUCUGGGAGAGGUGAGUGGAAUUCCGAGUGUAGAGGUGAAAUUCGUAGAUAUUCGGAAGAACACCAGUGGCGAAGGCGGCUCACUGGACCAGAAUUGACGCUGAGGUGCGAAAGCGUGGGGAGCAAACAGG